This 253-nucleotide ribosomal RNA is filed under the name uncultured bacterium. RNAcentral's name for it is "partial 16S ribosomal RNA". It matches the Rfam family "Bacterial small subunit ribosomal RNA", at positions 524 to 776 of the family's 1533-position model. The record is from RNAcentral.
GACGAAGGUGGCGAGCGUUGUUCGGAAUCACUGGGCAUAAAGCGCACGUAGGCGGCUAGGUAAGUCGGAUGUGAAAUACCUCGGCUCAACCGAGGAACUGCGUCCGAUACUGCCUGGCUUGAGGUCCGGAGGGGAGAGUGGAAUUCCCGGUGGAGCGGUGAAAUGCGUAGAGAUCGGGAAGAACGCCGGCGGCGAAAGCGACUCUCUGGUCGGAAUCUGACGCUGAGGUGCGAAAGCGUGGGGAGCAAACAGG